GGAUGUAUGGCUCAGUGUUAGAGCAUUAGACUAUCGCUCUGUAGGUCUCGAGUUCGAGUCCUGCAACCUCCG
RNAcentral lists this transfer RNA (72 nucleotides) under Ancylostoma ceylanicum. It matches the Rfam family "tRNA". From Rfam's summary of the family: Transfer RNA (tRNA) molecules are approximately 80 nucleotides in length. Their secondary structure includes four short double-helical elements and three loops (D, anti-codon, and T loops). Lineage: Eukaryota; Metazoa; Nematoda; Chromadorea; Rhabditida; Ancylostomatidae. The record is from Rfam by way of RNAcentral.